This 505-nucleotide ribosomal RNA is filed under the name uncultured bacterium. Its description in RNAcentral is "partial 16S ribosomal RNA". It matches the Rfam family "Bacterial small subunit ribosomal RNA", at positions 28 to 507 of the family's 1533-position model. The record is from RNAcentral.
GACGAACGCUGGCGGCGUGCCUAAUACAUGCAAGUAGAACGCACAGUUUAUACCGUAGCUUGCUACACCAUAAACUGUGAGUUGCGAACGGGUGAGUAACGCGUAGGUAACCUGCCUGGUAGCGGGGGAUAACUAUUGGAAACGAUAGCUAAUACCGCAUAAUAUUAAUUAUUGCAUGAUAAUUGAUUGAAAGAUGCAAUUGCAUCACUACCAGAUGGACCUGCGUUGUAUUAGCUAGUAGGUGAGGUAACGGCUCACCUAGGCGACGAUACAUAGCCGACCUGAGAGGGUGAUCGGCCACACUGGGACUGAGACACGGCCCAGACUCCUACGGGAGGCAGCAGUAGGGAAUCUUCGGCAAUGGACGAAAGUCUGACCGAGCAACGCCGCGGGAGUGAAGAAGGGUUUCGGAUCGUAAAGCUCGGUUGUAAGAGAAGAACGGGUGUGAGAGUGGAAAGUUCACACUGUGACGGUAUCUUACCAGAAAGGGACGGCUAACUACGUG